AUGUGGGAUAACUAUGGGCAAGUUUUAUUAAUGUUACCAUUUAACUUUUCUGUGACCUGCCAAAUAAUUUUAAAGGGCAUGAACUUCAUGUGGAAUAAGCUGAGGCAGUGGCCAUUCAAGACCUACUCCUCAACUGACAUGGGCAAGACACUCAGGUCCCUGGAUGCACCAAACGGUUGGUUCCAGAGCAACCGCUCAGGAACUCAAAGACAUGCUUCCAUCAAGGAACUCAAAGACAUUUCCACAUUUCUUGUUUCAUUUUCUUGUUUUGUUUUAGUUUUUAAUGGACAGCCAAACAGCUCUUGCAAAUACAGUUACCAACUGUUGAGCACUUUUACUGGUAGCUUUUGGCAAACCAUUUAUUAAAAUUGGAGUCAUUUCACAUUUUGUUUGUGGGAAAAUCAUGCUACUUUAUAUGGCAUUAUUUAAUAGGCCAUAAGUGGCCAAAAGAGGAUGUGAUUUAUGACUCAUUAAAAAUGACCAAUUUUAUGUAUUCUUUUAUGUACUUGUUUUUAAAUUAUUCGUCUGGUUAAAAAGUGGCCUUCGCCACCUAUCAGAAAAGGACAUGUGCCAGUUUGUGGAUGCUGUAAAUAUUGUCCACUUGACAAGCACUGGACUGGAAUCAAAAACCUGUUGACUCGUAAGUGAAAUUUGAUUUCUACAAUUUCAUUCUCUCACAUAGAUCUUGCCGUUGUCACUCUAGCUAUUCACACCCAUUCCCACCUGCAUUCUAACUUGGAAAUAAAACAAAAGGGGAGAAAAGUAAAUCAUUAGGUGUAAACAAUAAAACAAUAUGACUUAUAAUUUUCCUUUCCCACCCCAACCUUUGAAUGUAUGUAGUUCUGUCUGAACCUCCUUCAGUGAGCUGUGUAGUGGUUGGCAUUUUUCAAUUUGAAGCCGUAAUGAAGAAAUGUAACUAUGACUAAUGCACGGCAGUUGCUUUGCUCUCUUCUGUCAUUUCCUUCCAAUCCAAGCAGGAAUAUCUACCAUGAUUUUUUUUUUAAAGAACACAAUGCAGCCUUUCAACCUGCUCUAUAUGCUACCAUGGCUGUUCAUUUCUAUCCUGCGGUAAACAACCAUUAUUUCUCUGCACAACCUCAAAUGAGAUUUAUAAAAGGGGAAGAGGUGAGCCGGUGGUUUAAAAGAAGAAGGAGGAUCAUUAGAGUGAUACAGCCAGCAAAUCCACAGCAGAGUUCCAGAGGGUAAAGAUUAUCAGGAAUUUGAAAUAAAUCUAUUUGGAAGGAAAAUAUAUGAGUCUCCCUGCCACCCAACACAAAGAUAUAUACACACAUUGCAGAAGACAAAGGAAGGCCAGCAAAGAACAUACCAAAUACAGAUAGGAAAAUGGAAGCUCCCAAAAGCUCUUCAGCAAUAAGUUUUUGGACAGGAAAAUUCAGGAAAAGAUGACAGGGAUGACUGCCCAUAAUGCAGUUGCAUACAUAUCAUAUGGAUGGGUUUUCAUCGGUCCUUUUCCUGGGUAUGCUAGUUUUUUGUUUUGGGAUUUCUUGCUCAACGUAAGUGUUCCCAUGUGAUUCUUCUUUCAGCAUCUAAUCUUUCAGAAAGUAGAAUUUCAGGAGGGUGGUAUUGCAUUCAUUUCAAAACUGUUCAAAUUUUUCCGGAAAGCCAGAAUAUUGUUCAAAGUACAUGUUCAGUUAUAUCUCUGUUAUCUAUGAUCGUUCCACCUAUUCCAGCACUGAAAUAUAGCAGUGGAUGCUGAUUCCAAGUAAGCUUUUGUUCAGCUCUGGUAGGUAUGAUAAUAGGUAUCAUCUAAAAUGCCAACUUAGAAACAACACAAUAACCAGAAUAAUGUACAUCAAGGAUAAUCAAAUUGGUCCCUUCACCUCCCAAGGCCAGCGGUAAUCUCUGAGUCACAUGUUGUCUGCCUUUUAAUGAUUCCAUCUUGAGAUGCCCAAAUGAUAGUGUUCCCAUGAUAUAGUACAGGAUCUUAGUAGAAAAGAAUUAAUGUGUUCAGACAAUCAUUAAUAAGCCAAUCCCCCUCACCUCUAGUUCAACUGCAAUUAGAUUGGGAGGGGAUUGAACUAGUAUACUUAUGUUAAGCUUGUAUUUAAAUUUAUGUUAAAUACCAGCAGUAAAAGACUAACCAGAAAAAAAAAUGACACCUAUGAUUUCACUAAGGUUGCAAUUCUUUGCUAAUGUUGCUCUGAAAUAAACCAAGGAAUCAUUUAGCAAUUCUUCUUGCUGUGAGAAAAUCUUUAAAAACACUGCAGUUUUGAAAAACGAUUCAUGUUUCAGACUAGUUUUCUACAAAAAUUGUAUGCAGUAUAUUUGUCUCCAGCAUUCAGGAACUUUUUCUGGGUGAAAUUUUCACAUGGGCAUUUUGCACAAGAAACAGAAUAACUUGUGCACUUUUCAGAAGAAGCUGCAUAAUUUGAAGAAAACUGAAGUUUUUUAGGGAAGCUACCCACCUUUUGUAGAAAAGCUGUGUAAUUUUCUGUCAUGGAGUGAGGAUGGUCAAAUCCCAUGUCAUGGAGGGAGGGGGGCAAAUCUCAAAGCUAAAAGAUGAAAAAACCACUGCUUCAUUGUUCUUGACAUCUGUUGGAACUUGGAGAAAUGGAGAUUUACCAUGCCUAAUAUAUGCACAAGUUAAAUGUAUGUAUAUGAGAGCAAUACCAUUUACUUCUACAAUGUAAGCUCUAUCAGGGAAAGAAAACAGCAGCUACAAGGCUAAAGAUGUAGAUAGGAGAACAUAGUUUCUACAUUGGAUUCAUAUUUAUUUUGAGGUGUUUUUUUUUCUUACAACAAGAAAUACUUUUUAAAGUUUCAAGAGGGUUACUGUAGCUGCAUCUACAUUGCCAAAUAAUGCAGUGUAGCUUUCGCUUUAGCCUGGUGCAUUCAUACAAUGUAUGCAGGCUAAUGUGAUUUAACCUGGGGUAAGGUGUUUA
This is a long non-coding RNA of Anolis carolinensis (green anole), 2903 nucleotides long. NCBI's taxonomy places the organism in Eukaryota, Metazoa, Chordata, Lepidosauria, Squamata, Anolidae. The record is from Ensembl.